GAGACAUUAGUUUAAUUGGUAGAACGUCGUGCUACGGACACGAUAAAUUUAGUUCGAAUCUAAAAUGUCUUG
RNAcentral lists this transfer RNA (72 nucleotides) under Cyphellophora attinorum. RNAcentral describes it as "Phialophora attae tRNA". It matches the Rfam family "tRNA". Rfam says of the family: Transfer RNA (tRNA) molecules are approximately 80 nucleotides in length. Lineage: Eukaryota; Fungi; Ascomycota; Eurotiomycetes; Chaetothyriales; Cyphellophoraceae. The record is from Rfam by way of RNAcentral.